AGAGUUUGAUCAUGGCUCAGAUUGAACGCUGGCGGCAGGCCUAACACAUGCAAGUCGAACGGUAACAUUUCUAGCUUGCUAGAAGAUGACGAGUGGCGGACGGGUGAGUAAUGCUUGGGAACUUGCCUUUGCGAGGGGGAUAACAGUUGGAAACGACUGCUAAUACCGCAUAAUGUCUUCGGACCAAACGGGGCUUCGGCUCCGGCGCAAAGAGAGGCCCAAGUGAGAUUAGCUAGUUGGUAAGGUAACGGCUUACCAAGGCGACGAUCUCUAGCUGUUCUGAGAGGAAGAUCAGCCACACUGGGACUGAGACACGGCCCAGACUCCUACGGGAGGCAGCAGUGGGGAAUAUUGCACAAUGGGGGAAACCCUGAUGCAGCCAUGCCGCGUGUGUGAAGAAGGCCUUCGGGUUGUAAAGCACUUUCAGUUGUGAGGAAAAGUUAGUAGUUAAUACCUGCUAGCCGUGACGUUAACAACAGAAGAAGCACCGGCUAACUCCGUGCCAGCAGCCGCGGUAAUACGGAGGGUGCGAGCGUUAAUCGGAAUUACUGGGCGUAAAGCGCACGCAGGCGGUUUGUUAAGCUAGAUGUGAAAGCCCCGGGCUCAACCUGGGAUGGUCAUUUAGAACUGGCAGACUAGAGUCUUGGAGAGGGGAGUGGAAUUCCAGGUGUAGCGGUGAAAUGCGUAGAUAUCUGGAGGAACAUCAGUGGCGAAGGCGACUCCCUGGCCAAAGACUGACGCUCAUGUGCGAAAGUGUGGGUAGCGAACAGGAUUAGAUA
RNAcentral lists this ribosomal RNA (779 nucleotides) under uncultured marine microorganism. RNAcentral's name for it is "bacterial SSU rRNA". It matches the Rfam family "Bacterial small subunit ribosomal RNA", at positions 8 to 784 of the family's 1533-position model. The record is from RNAcentral.